AACGAACGCUGGCGGCAUGCCUAACACAUGCCAGUCGAACGAGACCUUCGGGUCUAGUGGCGCACGGGUGCGUAACGCGUGGGAACCUGCCCUUAGGUUCGGAAUAACUCCCCGAAAGGGGUGCUAAUACCGGAUAAUGUCUUCGGACCAAAGAUUUAUCGCCUUUGGAUGGGCCCGCGUUGGAUUAGCUAGUUGGUAGGGUAAAAGCCUACCAAGGCGACGAUCCAUAGCUGGUCUGAGAGGAUGAUCAGCCACACUGGGACUGAGACACGGCCCAGACGCAGACGGGAGGCAGGAGGGGGGAAGAUUGGACAAAGGGCGAAAGCCGGAUCCAGCAAUGCCGGGUGAGGGAAGGAGGGUUGAGGGUUGAAAAGGUCUUUUACCAGGGAUGAUAAGGAGAGACCGGGGGGAAAAAGCCCGGGCGAAUUCGGG
This 432-nucleotide ribosomal RNA is filed under the name uncultured bacterium. RNAcentral describes it as "partial 16S ribosomal RNA". It matches the Rfam family "Bacterial small subunit ribosomal RNA", at positions 29 to 506 of the family's 1533-position model. The record is from RNAcentral.